CGGCCGCGUCGACGAAAGCGAGUUUGUACAAGAGCGCCAGUGUGAAAGACACAGGUCACUGUUUGUAGACGCGAAACCAAGGUGAUCUACCCAUGACCAGGCUGAAGUUACAGGUAACACUGAAUGGAGGGCCGAACCGAACUUACGUAAAAGUAGUACCGGAUGAGUUGUGGGUAGGGGUGGAAAUUACCAAUCGAACCUGGAUAUAGNUCGUUCUCUCCGAAAUAUAUUUAGGUAUAGCCGUCAUAUUAGCAUCGUGGAGGGUAGAGCACUGUUUGGUAGUGAGGGGCCCGACUCCCCGGGGUUACCGAGUUCAGACAAACUCCGAAUGCCACAGAUGUGAUGUAUGGGAGUCAGACAGUGGGUGAAUAAGGUCCAUUGUCGAGAGGGAAACAGCCCAGACCACGUCGACGCGGCC
Molecule: ribosomal RNA, 418 nt
Filed under: uncultured bacterium
Lineage: Bacteria
Description: bacterial LSU rRNA
Rfam family: Bacterial large subunit ribosomal RNA
Source: RNAcentral